Molecule: ribosomal RNA, 1534 nt
Filed under: Bacteroides thetaiotaomicron
Lineage: Bacteria; Pseudomonadati; Bacteroidota; Bacteroidia; Bacteroidales; Bacteroidaceae
Description: bacterial SSU rRNA
Rfam family: Bacterial small subunit ribosomal RNA
Source: RNAcentral
CUUUUACAAUGAAGAGUUUGAUCCUGGCUCAGGAUGAACGCUAGCUACAGGCUUAACACAUGCAAGUCGAGGGGCAGCAUUUCAGUUUGCUUGCAAACUGGAGAUGGCGACCGGCGCACGGGUGAGUAACACGUAUCCAACCUGCCGAUAACUCGGGGAUAGCCUUUCGAAAGAAAGAUUAAUACCCGAUGGUAUAAUCAGACCGCAUGGUUUGAUUAUUAAAGAAUUUCGGUUAUCGAUGGGGAUGCGUUCCAUUAGGCAGUUGGUGAGGUAACGGCUCACCAAACCUUCGAUGGAUAGGGGUUCUGAGAGGAAGGUCCCCCACAUUGGAACUGAGACACGGUCCAAACUCCUACGGGAGGCAGCAGUGAGGAAUAUUGGUCAAUGGGCGCAGGCCUGAACCAGCCAAGUAGCGUGAAGGAUGACUGCCCUAUGGGUUGUAAACUUCUUUUAUAUGGGAAUAAAGUUUUCCACGUGUGGAAUUUUGUAUGUACCAUAUGAAUAAGGAUCGGCUAACUCCGUGCCAGCAGCCGCGGUAAUACGGAGGAUCCGAGCGUUAUCCGGAUUUAUUGGGUUUAAAGGGAGCGUAGGUGGACAGUUAAGUCAGUUGUGAAAGUUUGCGGCUCAACCGUAAAAUUGCAGUUGAUACUGGCUGUCUUGAGUACAGUAGAGGUGGGCGGAAUUCGUGGUGUAGCGGUGAAAUGCUUAGAUAUCACGAAGAACUCCGAUUGCGAAGGCAGCUCACUGGACUGCAACUGACACUGAUGCUCGAAAGUGUGGGUAUCAAACAGGAUUAGAUACCCUGGUAGUCCACACAGUAAACGAUGAAUACUCGCUGUUUGCGAUAUACAGUAAGCGGCCAAGCGAAAGCAUUAAGUAUUCCACCUGGGGAGUACGCCGGCAACGGUGAAACUCAAAGGAAUUGACGGGGGCCCGCACAAGCGGAGGAACAUGUGGUUUAAUUCGAUGAUACGCGAGGAACCUUACCCGGGCUUAAAUUGCAUUUGAAUAAUCUGGAAACAGGUUAGCCGCAAGGCAAAUGUGAAGGUGCUGCAUGGUUGUCGUCAGCUCGUGCCGUGAGGUGUCGGCUUAAGUGCCAUAACGAGCGCAACCCUUAUCUUUAGUUACUAACAGGUCAUGCUGAGGACUCUAGAGAGACUGCCGUCGUAAGAUGUGAGGAAGGUGGGGAUGACGUCAAAUCAGCACGGCCCUUACGUCCGGGGCUACACACGUGUUACAAUGGGGGGUACAGAAGGCAGCUACCUGGUGACAGGAUGCUAAUCCCAAAAGCCUCUCUCAGUUCGGAUCGAAGUCUGCAACCCGACUUCGUGAAGCUGGAUUCGCUAGUAAUCGCGCAUCAGCCAUGGCGCGGUGAAUACGUUCCCGGGCCUUGUACACACCGCCCGUCAAGCCAUGAAAGCCGGGGGUACCUGAAGUACGUAACCGCAAGGAGCGUCCUAGGGUAAAACUGGUAAUUGGGGCUAAGUCGUAACAAGGUAGCCGUACCGGAAGGUGCGGCUGGAACACCUCCUUU